UCUGGUGCCAGCAGCCGCGGUAAUUCCAGCUCCAAUAGCGUAUAUUAAAGUUGUUGCGGUUAAAAAGCUCGUAGUUGGAUCUCGGUUUCACUCAGGUGGUACACCUUGCGGUGUUCACUAUCUGGGUGGACGUUUCUGUUGGUUCGCUCUUGGUGCUCUUCAUCGGGUGCCAUUUGGUGGCCAGCACGUUUACUUUGAAAAAAUUGGAGUGCUCAAAGCAGGCGUUACAGCCUGAACAUUAGUGCAUGGAAUAAUGGAAUAGGAUCUCGAUUCUAUUUCGUUGGCUUUCGGAGUCGAGGUAAUGAUUAAUAGGGACAGACGGGGGCAUUCGUACUGCGGCGUUAGAGGUGAAAUUCUUGGAUCGUCGCAAGACGAACUACUGCGAAAGCAUUUGCCAAGGAUGUUUUCAUUAAUCAAAAACGAAAGUUAGAGGUUCGAAGGCGAUCAGAUACCGCCCUAGUUCUAACCAUAAACGAUGCCAACCGGCGAUCCGUCGUCGUUAAUUGAAUGACUCGACGGGCAGCCUCCGGGAAACCAGAGUGUUUGGGUUCCGGGGGAAGUAUGGUUGCAAAGCUGAAACUUAAAGGAAUUGACGGAAGGGCACCACCAGGAGUGGAGCCUGCGGCUUAAUUUGACCCAACACGGGAAAUCUCACCAGGCCCGGACACCGGAAGGAUUGACAGAUUGAGAGCUCUUUCUUGAUUCGGUGGGUGGUGGUGCAUGGCCGUUCUUAGUUGGUGGAGCGAUUUGUCUGGUUAAUUCCGAUAACGAACGAGACUCUGGCCUACUAACUAGAAGGUCUAUCCUUUAUGGGUAGGCCUCUGCUUCUUAGAGGGACGGGCGGCGUUUAGCCGCACGAGAAUGAGCAAUAACAGGUCUGUGAUGCCCUUAGAUGUUCUGGGCUGCACGCGCGCUACACUGAAGGAAUCAGCAUGUUCUCCCCUCCCUGAAAAGGGCGGGUAACCCGUUGAAACUCCUUCGUGAUGGGGAUUGGAGAUUGUAAUUAUUCUCCAUGAACGAGGAAUUCCCAGUAGGCGCGAGUCAUCAGCUUGCGUCGAUUACGUCCCUGCCCUUUGUACACACCGCCCGUCGCUACUACCGAUCGAGUGAUUUAGUGAGGACUUCGGACUGGUCUUCAAGUUGGCUUCGGUCGGCUCGAAGUUCCGGAAAGAUGCCCAAACUUGAUCACUUAGA
RNAcentral lists this ribosomal RNA (1194 nucleotides) under metagenome. RNAcentral describes it as "SSU rRNA". It matches the Rfam family "Eukaryotic small subunit ribosomal RNA", at positions 560 to 1777 of the family's 1831-position model. The record is from RNAcentral.